GCAAAAUGACCCCGUAACUUCGGGAGAAGGGGUGCUCUUUGAGGUUCACGCUUCGAAGAGCCGCAGUGAAUAGGCCCAAGCGACUGUUUAUCAAAAACACAGGUCUCUGCUAAACCGUAAGGUGACGUAUAGGGGCUGACGCCUGCCCGGUGCUGGAAGGUUAAGAGGAGUGGUUAGCGCAAGCGAAGCUACGAAUCGAAGCCCCAGUAAACGGCGGCCGUAACUAUAACGGUCCUAAGGUAGCGAAAUUCCUUGUCGGGUAAGUUCCGACCCGCACGAAAGGCGUAACGAUUUGGGCACUGUCUCAACGAGAGACUCGGUGAAAUCAUAGUACCGGUGAAGAUGCCGGUUACCCGCGACAGGACGGAAAGACCCCGUGGAGCUUUACUGUAGCCUGAUAUUGAAAUUCGGUACAGUUUGUACAGGAUAGGUAGGAGCCUUAGAAGCGUGAGCGCUAGCUUACGUGGAGGCAUUGGUGGGAUACUACCCUAAUUGUAUUGGAUUUCUAACCCGCAGCACUUAUCGUGCUGGGAGACAGUGUCAGGCGGGCAGUUUGACUGGGGCGGUCGCCUCCUAAAGAGUAACGGAGGCGCUCAAAGGUUCCCUCAGAAUGGUUGGAAAUCAUUCAUAGAGUGUAAAGGCAUAAGGGAGCUUGACUGCGAGACCUACAAGUCGAGCAGGGUCGAAAGACGGACUUAGUGAUCCGGUGGUUCCGCAUGGAAGGGCCAUCGCUCAACGGAUAAAAGCUACCCCGGGGAUAACAGGCUUAUCUCCCCCAAGAGUUCACAUCGACGGGGAGGUUUGGCACCUCGAUGUCGGCUCAUCGCAUCCUGGGGCUGUAGUCGGUCCCAAGGGUUGGGCUGUUCGCCCAUUAAAGCGGUACGCGAGCUGGGUUCAGAACGUCGUGAGACAGUUCGGUCCCUAUCCGUCGUGGGCGUAGGAAAUUUGAGAGGAGCUGUCCUUAGUACGAGAGGACCGGGAUGGACAUACCUCUGGUGUACCAGUUGUCGUGCCAACGGCAUAGCUGGGUAGCUAUGUAUGGACGGGAUAAGUGCUGAAAGCAUCUAAGCAUGAAGCCCCCCUCGAGAUGAGAUUUCCCAACUUCGGUUAUAAGAUCCCUCAAAGAUGAUGAGGUGAAUAGGUUCGAGGUGGAAGCGUAGCGAUACGUGGAGCUGACGAAUACUA
Molecule: ribosomal RNA, 1185 nt
Filed under: Staphylococcus pseudintermedius
Lineage: Bacteria; Bacillati; Bacillota; Bacilli; Caryophanales; Staphylococcaceae
Description: partial 23S ribosomal RNA
Rfam family: Bacterial large subunit ribosomal RNA
Source: RNAcentral